Long non-coding RNA from Dermacentor andersoni, 1066 nucleotides. RefSeq lists it as uncharacterized. Lineage: Eukaryota; Metazoa; Arthropoda; Arachnida; Ixodida; Ixodidae. The record is from RefSeq and is a predicted model, not a curated record.
CCACAGGGGUGAGUGGGACCGAGCUCUACACAGCUCGGACCUUGAAGCACAGCUCUGGGCUGUCCAUCAGGCCCGCAAGGCAGCGGAGAGGCAUGGCCUCUCUGUCCCGACGUGGGAGCGGCCCGCUGCAUAGUAAUCGCGCGUACCGACGGACCUCAAGAAAGUUAUCCAUCCAUCCAUUAUCACAGCAGUUGUCGGAAAACAUUCUGCAGGGAACAGCUAAAACACUAUGCAUUUCUCAUUAUAGUGCUAUUUUGUGUGCGUGAGUUUAAUAAAUAGAUAAUUUGCAGGUGUGUGUAUGGCAAAUUGAGAUGCUAACUUCACCGAAAUCAUAAAAGCACACAGCACUCUACUUAAAAGAAUCUGAGCAUUUGGCCACUGUUGUGUCACUAAUGUGCACUGUCCUAGCCAUCUUCAUUACCAAGCAGAAAUACAACCAACAGACUAUUUUUCGGGCAUGCAUGAGAAUUCGGGUAUUUUUGAAACACCGCCACGUACCCAAUAGAGGCAAUUAAUUAUAAGGACAGCUGAAAUUUCGGAUGCUGAAAUGCUUUGCCUUCAAAGUGCGGAAGGCACGACCAUUGUCAAAAAUGUUGUAUAAUGCCGGUUUUCAAGCGUCAACUUUGCUGCAAUAUAGCUUGCUACUGGAAGAAGCUUAUGCAAUGUAUUGUGGUGAAGCAUACCAGCAGUGGAAAGGGGCCACUGUAACAUGGCAUGACAUGUAAUUCUUUAUUUACACACAUACAUACUCUCUCCUGUUACAGCACAAGCACCAAGAAGCCUAAUAAGUGUUGUGGUUUGUUUACAAAAUUAAGAAAAAUUAAAUUAUGGGGCAUGCAGUAGUGUGGGACUCCGGAAAUUUCGACCAACUGGGGUCUUUAACGUGCACCUAAAUCUAAGUACACGGGUGUUUUCGCAUUUCGCCCCCAUCGAAGUGCGGCAGCCGUAGCCGGGAUUCGAUCCCGCGACCUCGUGCUCAACAGCCCAGCACCACAGCCACUAAGUAACUAGGGCGGGUACAAAAUUAAGUUCCUUGCCUACCCAAAUAAAGAUGUUUGCAACAUGA